This 60-nucleotide ribosomal RNA is filed under the name Streptomyces agglomeratus. RNAcentral's name for it is "partial 23S ribosomal RNA". The record is from RNAcentral. Lineage: Bacteria; Bacillati; Actinomycetota; Actinomycetes; Kitasatosporales; Streptomycetaceae.
UUCGGUCCCUAUCCUCUGCGCGCGUAGGAAUAUUGAGAAGGGCUGUCCCUAGUACGAGAG